Molecule: small RNA, 3093 nt
Filed under: Pongo abelii (Sumatran orangutan)
Lineage: Eukaryota; Metazoa; Chordata; Mammalia; Primates; Hominidae
Description: retained intron
Source: RNAcentral
CUUGCUGUCAAGUUCAGAAGCCUUCUGGCAGACACUGGAGCCACGAUGAAGCCCCCAAGGCCUGUCUGUACCUGCAGCAAAGUUCUGGUCCUGCUUUCACUGCUGGCCAUCCACCAGACCACCACUGCCGAAAAGAAUGGCGUCGACAUCUACAGCCUCACCGUGGACUCCAGGGUCUCAUCCCGAUUUGCCCACACGGUCGUCACCAGCCGAGUGGUCAAUAGGGCCCAUACUGUGCAGGAGGCCACCUUCCAGAUGGAGCUGCCCAAGAAAGCCUUCAUCACCAACUUCUCCAUGAUCAUCGAUGGCAUGACCUACCCAGGGAUCAUCAAGGAGAAGGCCGAAGCCCAGGCACAGUACAGCACAGCAGUGGCCAAGGGAAAGAGCGCUGGCCUCGUCAAGGCCACCGGGAGAAACAUGGAGCAGUUCCAGGUGUCAGUCAGUGUGGCUCCCAAUGCCAAGAUCACCUUUGAGCUGGUCUAUGAGGAGCUGCUCAAGCGGUGUUUGGGGGUGUACGAGCUGCUGCUGAAAGUGCGGCCCCAGCAGCUGGUCAAGCACCUGCAGAUGGACAUUCACAUCUUCGAGCCCCAGGGCAUCAGCUUCCUGGAGACAGAGAGCACCUUCAUGACCAACCAGUUGGUAGACGCCUUCACCACCUGGCAGAAUAAGACCAAGGCUCACAUCCGGUUCAAGCCAACACUUUCCCAGCAGCAAAAGUCCCCAGAGCAGCAAGAAACAGUCCUGGACGGCAACCUCAUUAUUCGCUAUGAUGUGGACCGGGCCAUCUCCGGGGGCUCCAUUCAGAUCGAGAACGGCUACUUUGUACACUACUUUGCCCCCGAGGGCCUAACCACAAUGCCCAAGAAUGUGGUCUUUGUCAUUGACAAGAGCGGCUCCAUGAGUGGCAGGAAAAUCCAGCAGACCCGGGAAGCCCUAAUCAAGAUCCUGGAUGACCUCAGCCCCAGAGACCAGUUCAACCUCAUCGUCUUCAGUACAGAAGCAACUCAGUGGAGGCCAUCACUGGUGCCAGCCUCAGCCGAGAACGUGAACAAGGCCAGGAGCUUUGCUGCCGGCAUCCAGGCCCUGGGAGGGACCAACAUCAAUGAUGCAAUGCUGAUGGCUGUGCAGUUGCUGGACAGCAGCAACCAGGAGGAGCGGCUGCCCGACGGGAGUGUCUCACUCAUCAUCCUGCUCACCGAUGGCGACCCCACUGUGGGGGAGACUAACCCCAGGAGCAUCCAGAAGAACGUGCGGGAAGCUGUAAGUGGCCGGUACAGCCUCUUCUGCCUGGGCUUCGGCUUCGACGUCAGCUAUGCCUUCCUGGAGAAGCUGGCACUGGACAACGGCGGCCUGGCUCGGCGUAUCCAUGAGGACUCAGACUCCGCCCUGCAGCUCCAGGACUUCUACCAGGAAGUGGCCAACCCACUGCUGACAGCAGUGACCUUCGAGUACCCAAGCAAUGCCGUGGAGGAGGUCACUCAAAACAACUUCCGGCUCCUCUUCAAGGGCUCAGAGAUGGUGGUGGCUGGGAAGCUCCAGGACCAGGGGCCUGAUGUGCUCACAGCCACAGUCAGUGGGAAGCUGCCUACACAGAACAUCACUUUCCAAACGGAGUCCAGCGUGGCAGAGCAGGAGGCGGAGUUCCAGAGUCCCAAGUAUAUCUUCCACAACUUCAUGGAGAGGCUCUGGGCAUACCUGACUAUCCAGCAGCUGCUGGAGCAAACUGUCUCCGCAUCCGAUGCUGAUCAGCAGGCCCUCCGGACCCAAGCGCUGAAUUUAUCACUUGCCUACAGCUUUGUCACGCCUCUCACAUCUAUGGUAGUCACCAAACCCGAAGACCAAGAGCAGUCUCAAGUUGCUGAGAAGCCCGUGGAAGGCGAAAGUAGAAACAGGAAUGUCCACUCAGGUUCCACUUUCUUCAAAUAUUAUCUCCAGGGAGCAAAAAUACCAAAACCAGGUGACAAAGUAGGAGGUGUGGGGAGGGGAGAUUAACAGAUUGGGCUCAGUCCUGGCUGUGGAGGGUAGUGCCUUGCCCAGCUCCUCUGGCUGGUGACAGCCCUCGGGCCUCAGUUCAGUUGUAUCUGAUCAGGACUUGACCACACAGAAGCUUCCUUUUCUCCAAGAAGAGGAUGGAGUAGACAAGCUGGAGCUGCUGGCUCCCGGAUGAAUUUCAGACCUGGGGUUCUCAGCCCUGGGCAACUUGGACUCCCAGGACCUCCUGAUGCUCCUGACCGUGCUGCUUUCCACCCCUUCCGCCGUCUGGCCAUCUUGCCUGCUUCAGCACCACCAGCCACCUCAAAUCCUGAUCCAGCUGUGUCUCAUGUCAUGAAUACCAAAAUCGAAGAAACAACCAUGACAGCCCAAAGCCCAGCCCCCAUACAGGCUCCCUCUGCCAUCCUGCCACUGCCUGGGCAGAGCGUGGAGCGGCUCUGUGUGGACCCCAGACACCGCCAGGGGCCAGUGAACCUGCUCUCAGACCCUGAGCAAGGGGUUGAGGUGACUGGCCAGUAUGAGAGGGAGAAGGCUGGGUUCUCAUGGAUCGAAGUGACCUUCAAGAACCCCCCAGUACGGGUUCACGCAUCGCCUGAACACGUGGUGGUGACUCGGAACCGAAGAAGCUCUGCGUACAAGUGGAAGGAGACGCUGUUCUCAGUGAUGCCCGGCCUGAAGAUAACCAUGGACAAGACGGGUCUCCUGCUGCUCAGUGACCCAGACAAAGUGACCAUCGGCCUGUUGUUCUGGGAUGGCCGUGGGGAGGGGCUCCGGCUCCUUCUGCGUGACACUGACCGCUUCUCCAGCCAUGUUGGAGGGACCCUUGGCCAGUUUUACCAGGAGGUGCUGUGGGGAUCUCCAGCAGCAUCAGAUGAUGGCAAACGCACGCUGAGGGUUCAGGGCAAUGACCACUCUGCCACCAGAGAGCGCAGGCUGGAUUACCAGGAGGGGCCCCCGGGAGUGGAGAUUUCCUGCUGGUCUGUGGAGCUGUAGUUCUAAUGGAAGGAGCUGUGCCCACCCUGUACACUUGGCUGCCCCCUGCAACUGCAGGGCCGCUUCUGGGGCCUGGACCACCAUGGGGAGGAAGAGUCCCACUCAUUA